Molecule: non-coding RNA, 243 nt
Organism: Vicia faba (fava bean)
Lineage: Eukaryota; Viridiplantae; Streptophyta; Magnoliopsida; Fabales; Fabaceae
Source: the annotation of a GenBank genome assembly
AUGAACCAACUUGGUAUUACCCUUUUGAUUCUCUCAAUCUUAUUGAUGAAUCAUGUUAGAGCACAAACACAAAGUUCAUCAUCACAAGUAUGUCAUCAUAGACAAUUACUUCCUCUUAGUGAUGAUCCAAAUAAUCAAUUAUCAACACUCAUGAGAUCAAGGUCAAGAUUUUCAGUUGUCCUAUUUGUAGACAUAAAGUCAACAUUGAAGAUGAAACAACUUUUGCAUAUUCAAAUAGUUUAA